Molecule: ribosomal RNA, 250 nt
Filed under: uncultured prokaryote
Description: partial 16S ribosomal RNA
Rfam family: Bacterial small subunit ribosomal RNA
Source: RNAcentral
UACGUAGGUGGCAAGCGUUAUCCGGAUUCACUGGGUGUAAAGGGUGCGCAGGCGGGAUUGCAAGUUGGAUGUGAAAUACCGGGGCUUAACCCCGGAACUGCAUCAAAAACUGUAGUUCUUGAGUGGAGCAGAGGUAAGCGGAAUUCCGAGUGUAACGGUGAAAUGCGUAGAUAUUCGGAGGAACACCAGUGGCGAAGGCGGCUUACUGGGCUCUAACUGACGCUGAGGCGCGAAAGUGUGGGUAGCAAAC